GCCUAGGAAAUUGCCCUGAUGUGGGGGAUAACCAUUGGAAACGAUGGCUAAUACCGCAUAACGCCUACGGGCCAAAGAGGGGGACCUUCGGGCCUCUCGCGUCAGGAUAUGCCUAGGUGGGAUUAGCUAGUUGGUGAGGUAAGGGCUCACCAAGGCGACGAUCCCUAGCUGGUCUGAGAGGAUGAUCAGCCACACUGGAACUGAGACACGGUCCAGACUCCUACGGGAGGCAGCAGUGGGGAAUAUUGCACAAUGGGCGCAAGCCUGAUGCAGCCAUGCCGCGUGUGUGAAGAAGGCCUUCGGGUUGUAAAGCACUUUCAGUCGUGAGGAAGGUAGUGUAGUUAAUAGCUGCAUUAUUUGACGUUAGCGACAGAAGAAGCACCGGCUAACUCCGUGCCAGCAGCCGCGGUAAUACGGAGGGUGCGAGCGUUAAUCGGAAUUACUGGGCGUAAAGCGCAUGCAGGUGGUUUGUUAAGUCAGAUGUGAAAGCCCGGGGCUCAACCUCGGAAUUGCAUUUGAAACUGGCAGACUAGAGUACUGUAGAGGGGGGUAGAAUUUCAGGUGUAGCGGUGAAAUGCGUAGAGAUCUGAAGGAAUACCGGUGGCGAAGGCGGCCCCCUGGACAGAUACUGACACUCAGAUGCGAAAGCGUGGGGAGCAAACAGGAUUAGAUACCCUGGUAGUCCACGCCGUAAACGAUGUCUACUUGGAGGUUGUGGCCUUGAGCCGUGGCUUUCGGAGCUAACGCGUUAAGUAGACCGCCUGGGGAGUACGGUCGCAAGAUUAAAACUCAAAUGAAUUGACGGGGGCCCGCACAAGCGGUGGAGCAUGUGGUUUAAUUCGAUGCAACGCGAAGAACCUUACCUACUCUUGACAUCCAGAGAACUUUCCAGAGAUGGAUUGGUGCCUUCGGGAACUCUGAGACAGGUGCUGCAUGGCUGUCGUCAGCUCGUGUUGUGAAAUGUUGGGUUAAGUCCCGCAACGAGCGCAACCCUUAUCCUUGUUUGCCAGCGAGUAAUGUCGGGAACUCCAGGGAGACUGCCGGUGAUAAACCGGAGGAAGGUGGGGACGACGUCAAGUCAUCAUGGCCCUUACGAGUAGGGCUACACACGUGCUACAAUGGCGCAUACAGAGGGCGGCCAACUUGCGAGAGUGAGCGAAUCCCAAAAAGUGCGUCGUAGUCCGGAUCGGAGUCUGCAACUCGACUCCGUGAAGUCGGAAUCGCUAGUAA
Molecule: ribosomal RNA, 1230 nt
Filed under: Vibrio rotiferianus
Lineage: Bacteria; Pseudomonadati; Pseudomonadota; Gammaproteobacteria; Vibrionales; Vibrionaceae
Description: bacterial SSU rRNA
Rfam family: Bacterial small subunit ribosomal RNA
Source: RNAcentral